GGGCGCUUAGCUCAGCUGGUAGAGCGGCAUGCUUACACCGUGUUGGUCGGGGGUUCGAAUCCCUCAGCGCCCA
RNAcentral lists this transfer RNA (73 nucleotides) under Gemmataceae bacterium. RNAcentral describes it as "tRNA-Val". It matches the Rfam family "tRNA". Rfam says of the family: Transfer RNA (tRNA) molecules are approximately 80 nucleotides in length. The record is from RNAcentral. Lineage: Bacteria; Pseudomonadati; Planctomycetota; Planctomycetia; Gemmatales; Gemmataceae.